Molecule: small nucleolar RNA, 103 nt
Filed under: Physeter macrocephalus (sperm whale)
Lineage: Eukaryota; Metazoa; Chordata; Mammalia; Artiodactyla; Physeteridae
Description: Physeter catodon (sperm whale) Small nucleolar RNA SNORA11 (ENSPCTG00005000148.1)
Rfam family: Small nucleolar RNA SNORA11
About the family: U107 (SNORA11) is a member of the H/ACA class of snoRNAs that guide the sites of modification of uridines to pseudouridines. This snoRNA was identified by RT-PCR from blood cells and its expression confirmed by Northern blot analysis. There is no predicted target for this guide snRNA.
Source: Rfam by way of RNAcentral
UCAGUCUCCUCAUCUGUUUACAACACACCCGACAGGAAUCAGGGUUCAUUGUGACAAGGGGCACAAAACUUGUGGCCUUCCUAUGAACAGAUACCCAACACGU